CAUAUAUAUAUGGAUAGACAUGUAUAAGUUGUUUCAUGUACCUAACAAGGCAAACUUGAAGAGUGAAGGCUGCUCAAGCUAAUAAGAAUUAAGAUGAAAGCCUUUGCUUAUGUUCUGAUCGUUCUCUUUAUUUUCUCCAUUGACAUCGACAAUGGAAGGUUGUUGAAAGUAUCAGAGGCAAGAGAGUGUCAACAAACACAGAGUGAAGGAGGCUGUAUAGAAAACACAUGCAACAGCGACUGCAGGAGAAUACAUGGAGGGCGAGCAUCUGGUCAUUGCAAUGCGAUAGAAGAUUGUAUUUGUUAUUAUCCAUGUUAAAUUUGUGCUCUUACUUUUACAGCAUUGUCUCCUUUUCAAUAAAUAUUUAAAUAAUGAUGGAUCUACAUGUAGAGGUGUGGAUCCCAUUAAACCAAUAAAUAUAUAUAUGAAUUUACAUAAUGCUUUUAUUACAUAA
Arachis duranensis is the source of this 454-nucleotide long non-coding RNA. RefSeq lists it as uncharacterized. The record is from RefSeq and is a predicted model, not a curated record. NCBI's taxonomy places the organism in Eukaryota, Viridiplantae, Streptophyta, Magnoliopsida, Fabales, Fabaceae. The transcript has 2 exons.